This 880-nucleotide ribosomal RNA is filed under the name Acrocalymma walkeri. Its description in RNAcentral is "partial large subunit ribosomal RNA". It matches the Rfam family "Eukaryotic large subunit ribosomal RNA", at positions 48 to 950 of the family's 3401-position model. The record is from RNAcentral. Lineage: Eukaryota; Fungi; Ascomycota; Dothideomycetes; Pleosporales; Acrocalymmaceae.
AAGCGGAGGAAAAGAAACCAACAGGGAUUGCCCUAGUAACGGCGAGUGAAGCGGCAACAGCUCAAAUUUGAAAUCUGAUCUCUUCGAGGUCCGAGUUGUAAUUUGUAGAGGGCGCUUUGGUGUUGGCUGCGGUCUAAGUUCCUUGGAACAGGACGUCAUAGAGGGUGAGAAUCCCGUCUGUGGUCGCAUGUCUUCACCGUGUAAAGCCCCUUCGACGAGUCGAGUUGUUUGGGAAUGCAGCUCUAAAUGGGAGGUAAAUUUCUUCUAAAGCUAAAUACUGGCCAGAGACCGAUAGCGCACAAGUAGAGUGAUCGAAAGAUGAAAAGCACUUUGGAAAGAGAGUCAAACAGCACGUGAAAUUGUUGAAAGGGAAGCGCUUGCAGCCAGACUUGCUUGCAGUUGCUCAUCCGGGCGCUCGCCCGGUGCACUCUUCUGUAGGCAGGCCAGCAUCAGUUUGGGCGGUUGGAUAAAGGCCUCUGUCAUGUAUCUUCUCCGGAAGACCUUAUAGGGGAGGCGUAAUGCAACCAGCCUGGACUGAGGUCCGCGCAUCUGCUAGGAUGCUGGCGUAAUGGCUGUAAGCGGCCCGUCUUGAAACACGGACCAAGGAGUCUAACAUCUAUGCGAGUGUUUGGGUGUCAAGCCCGAGCGCGCAAUGAAAGUGAACGGAGGUGGGAACCCUCGGGUGCACCAUCGACCGAUCCUGAAGUCUUCGGAUGGAUUUGAGUAAGAGCAUAGCUGUUGGGACCCGAAAGAUGGUGAACUAUGCUUGAAUAGGGUGAAGCCAGAGGAAACUCUGGUGGAGGCUCGCAGCGGUUCUGACGUGCAAAUCGAUCGUCAAAUUUGGGCAUAGGGGCGAAAGACUAAUCGAACUAUCUAGUAG